AGAGCUUGCUUUCUCGAGCGAGUGGCGAACGGGUGAGUAACGCGUGAGGAACCUGCCUCAAAGAGGGGGACAACAGUUGGAAACGACUGCUAAUACCGCAUAAGCCCACGACCCGGCAUCGGGUAGAGGGAAAAGGAGCAAUCCGCUUUGAGAUGGCCUCGCGUCCGAUUAGCUAGUUGGUGAGGUAACGGCCCACCAAGGCGACGAUCGGUAGCCGGACUGAGAGGUUGAACGGCCACAUUGGGACUGAGACACGGCCCAGACUCCUACGGGAGGCAGCAGUGGGGAAUAUUGCACAAUGGGGGAAACCCUGAUGCAGCGACGCCGCGUGGAGGAAGAAGGUCUUCGGAUUGUAAACUCCUGUUGUUGAGGAAGAUAAUGACGGUACUCAACAAGGAAGUGACGGCUAACUACGUGCCAGCAGCCGCGGUAAAACGUAGGUCACAAGCGUUGUCCGGAAUUACUGGGUGUAAAGGGAGCGCAGGCGGGAAGGCAAGUUGGAAGUGAAAUCCAUGGGCUCAACCCAUGAACUGCUUUCAAAACUGUUUUUCUUGAGUAGUGCAGAGGUAGGCGGAAUUCCCGGUGUAGCGGUGGAAUGCGUAGAUAUCGGGAGGAACACCAGUGGCGAAGGCGGCCUACUGGGCACCAA
This 649-nucleotide ribosomal RNA is filed under the name uncultured Lachnospiraceae bacterium. RNAcentral describes it as "bacterial SSU rRNA". It matches the Rfam family "Bacterial small subunit ribosomal RNA", at positions 75 to 739 of the family's 1533-position model. The record is from RNAcentral. Lineage: Bacteria; Bacillati; Bacillota; Clostridia; Lachnospirales; Lachnospiraceae.